UUGUGGAAUUGUGGAAAUGCAUGGAAAAAGAUAAUGGAGAAACUUCAAAUAUCCCCCAAGUGGUUUCGCACUUUCUCAUUUUAGUACCCUGCGAUUUAAAGUAUAUCAAGUUAGCACCAUAUGGUUUCAUACUUUCUCACUUUAGUACCAUGUGGUUUCAAGUGUAUCAAGUUAGUACCCUGUGGUUUCGUAUUUUUUCACUUUAGUAUCAUGUGGUUUAAUAUUUCGUUACAUUAUAUACUCCAAAAUAGAUAAUAAAAAAAAAAUUGAAAUCACAGGAUACUAACUUGAUAUAAAAAUGAAACCAUAUGGUACUAACUUGAUAUACUUGAAACCACAGGGUACUAAAAUGAGAAAAUACAAAAAUACAGGAUUCUAACUUAAUACACGUUAAAUCACAUGGUACUAAAAUAAAAAAGUAUGAAACCACGUUGGGGGUAUUUGAAGUUUUCCCAAAGAUAAUUGAUAA
RNAcentral lists this long non-coding RNA (469 nucleotides) under Ananas comosus (pineapple). RNAcentral's name for it is "long non-coding RNA (ACOM_LNC008159)". Lineage: Eukaryota; Viridiplantae; Streptophyta; Magnoliopsida; Poales; Bromeliaceae. The record is from RNAcentral.